This 596-nucleotide ribosomal RNA is filed under the name Kytococcus sedentarius. Its description in RNAcentral is "bacterial SSU rRNA". It matches the Rfam family "Bacterial small subunit ribosomal RNA", at positions 173 to 784 of the family's 1533-position model. Lineage: Bacteria; Bacillati; Actinomycetota; Actinomycetes; Micrococcales; Kytococcaceae. The record is from RNAcentral.
CGACCGACCCUCGCAUGGGGUGUUGGUGGAAAGAUUUAUCGGUGGUGGAUGGACUCGCUGGCCUAUCAGCUUGUUGGUGGGGUAAUGGCCUACCAAGGCGACGACGGGUAGCCGGCCUGAGAGGGCGACCGGCCACACUGGGACUGAGACACGGCCCAGACUCCUACGGGAGGCAGCAGUGGGGAAUAUUGCACAAUGGGCGAAAGCCUGAUGCAGCGACGCCGCGUGAGGGAUGACGGCCUUCGGGUUGUAAACCUCUUUCAGCAGGGAAGAAGCUUUUGUGACGGUACCUGCAGAAGAAGCACCGGCUAACUACGUGCCAGCAGCCGCGGUAAUACGUAGGGUGCGAGCGUUGUCCGGAAUUAUUGGGCGUAAAGAGCUUGUAGGCGGUUUGUCGCGUCUGCUGUGAAAAUUCAGGGCUUAACCCUGGACGUGCAGUGGGUACGGGCAGACUAGAGUAUGGUAGGGGAGACUGGAAUUCCUGGUGUAGCGGUGGAAUGCGCAGAUAUCAGGAGGAACACCGAUGGCGAAGGCAGGUCUCUGGGCCAUUACUGACGCUGAGAAGCGAAAGCAUGGGGAGCGAACAGGAUUAGAUA